GACGAACGCUGGCGGCGUGCUUAACACAUGCAAGUCGAACGGUGAAGCGCCUUCCUUUUUGGUGGGUGUGGAUGAGUGGCGAACGGGUGAGUAACACGUGAGUAACCUGCCCCCUUCUUCUGGAUAACCGCAUGAAAGUGUGGCUAAUACGGGAUAUUCUGGGUCUGUCGCAUGAUGGGUCUGGGAAAGAUAUUGUUUCGGUGGGGGAUGGGCUCGCGGCCUAUCAGCUUGUUGGUGGGGUGAUGGCCUACCAAGGCGGUGACGGGUAGCCGGCCUGAGAGGGUGGACGGUCACACUGGGACGGAGACACGGCCCAGACUCCGUCGGGAGGCAGCAGUGGGGAAUAUUGCACAAUGGGCGCAAGCCUGAUGCAGCGACGCCGCGUGAGGGAUGGAGGCCUUCGGGUUGUGAACCUCUUUCGCCAGUGAAGCAGGCCUGCCUCGUUUGUGGGUGGGUUGACGGUAGCUGGAUAAGAAGCGCCGGCUAACUACGUG
Molecule: ribosomal RNA, 494 nt
Filed under: uncultured bacterium
Lineage: Bacteria
Description: partial 16S ribosomal RNA
Rfam family: Bacterial small subunit ribosomal RNA
Source: RNAcentral